CCAUUUCCGGUCUACCGGAUGUUGAGUGAGGAGGAAAAAACAAUUGAAUCACGAAUACAAUAAGCUAACAUUUCAAAUUAUGGCACACACCACUGUAUCUGAACGUUGGCGAAAACAUCAAUGUUAUGUGCAAUGCAUUAUUUAUAAAUAUUGAUAUUUGUCGGGUUUGGACUAAAACACGGUAUGUUGACAUUAGCUAGCUAGUAGCUUUCAUGUCGACAGCUAUCUAACUGGUGGUUCGAGGACAAGUUUGCACUAACACAUUUUUGGGGUACCUGGAGACGGUAGUGGCCAUUACCUGGCUAGAUUGUGGUGGAAGAGGAGACGCGUGGUUUGAACAAAAGCUGGAUGAUCGUUCUUGCCUGGGAUGCUAUUGGAGGAUCUACGUUGAACAUUUACAUUUUCCUCAUCAGUCCCGCCAGAGAGCCUGCCUAAAAAUAAAGACAAGCAAGAGACUGACUGACAUGGGAAGUAACAUUUCCUUCAGUAGAGGAGUCAAUGAUGAGGAAACAGUCAGCCUUAUCUGCUGCCCAUAGCAACCCUCCUGAACCCUUGCCUGCCUUGACUAACGAGAAACCGGUAACUGCUGAUACUGGCAAUGGAGACGCUACUGUUCUAAUGUGUCCCCCUUCAGAGUAUUUUCAUGUCUAGAACUGUAUAUCUGAUACAAUAUACCCAUAUAUGUGUGCGAUAUGUGCUGCAUCUGCCUGUUUCUCUAUAUUUGAUUAUGAAAACUAAGACCGGCGCAAAAGGAAAGCAUUAACGUGUUAUAUUUUUUAAUAUAUAUAUAUAUACAGUGAGGGGGAAAGUAUUUGAUCCCCUGCUGAUUUUGUACGUUUGCCCACUGACAAAGAAA
Molecule: long non-coding RNA, 856 nt
Organism: Oncorhynchus gorbuscha (pink salmon)
Lineage: Eukaryota; Metazoa; Chordata; Actinopteri; Salmoniformes; Salmonidae
Exons: 3
Source: RefSeq, a predicted model, not a curated record